Molecule: ribosomal RNA, 250 nt
Filed under: uncultured bacterium
Lineage: Bacteria
Description: partial 16S ribosomal RNA
Rfam family: Bacterial small subunit ribosomal RNA
Source: RNAcentral
UACGAAGGGGGCUAGCGUUGCUCGGAAUUACUGGGCGUAAAGGGAGCGUAGGCGGAUAGUUUAGUCAGAGGUGAAAGCCCAGGGCUCAACCUUGGAAUUGCCUUUGAUACUGGCUAUCUUGAGUAUGGAAGAGGUAUGUGGAACUCCGAGUGUAGAGGUGAAAUUCGUAGAUAUUCGGAAGAACACCAGUGGCGAAGGCGACAUACUGGUCCAUUACUGACGCUGAGGCUCGAAAGCGUGGGGAGCAAAC